This is a long non-coding RNA of Ailuropoda melanoleuca (giant panda), 314 nucleotides long. RefSeq lists it as uncharacterized. The record is from RefSeq and is a predicted model, not a curated record. NCBI's taxonomy places the organism in Eukaryota, Metazoa, Chordata, Mammalia, Carnivora, Ursidae. The transcript has 4 exons.
CAUGGAGUCAUCACCUAGGCAAGACUCAUGAACACUGCAUUUUGCUUCUCAGUAGGAUUGUGGGAUGCUGUGGGGUCACACAUAUUUGGAUCAAAAUCUCAAUGCCUGCCAUGUACUGGUUUGAUGAUCUUGGGUAAACCUCAACCUGUCUGAAACUCAGCUUCCCUUCUGGAAAAGAGUAUCGGGUUGGUAGUAAAUCAACAACAGAACAAAAAUUUGGCCACCACCUGCCAGAAUUGUCACUCUGCAACAGGAAGACUCAAAGGAGAUGAAAAACUCAAGUGAACUUUCUGUAGAAAACCACCCACGAGGGC